GCAAGCGUAAUGCGCCUCUGUGACAGUUGAUACUGACGGAACAAUGGCUUCGUCGUCGUCUUCGGGGAUGGCGGAACGAUGAGGAAUACCGGGAGCUCGUUAAGUAGAGGAUUUUCAGACUUAUCUCUGACAGUCGGUUUCGAUGUCAGUUCCGAGCCUGUCUUCCUUCCAGAAAGAGGGAUCCUUUUUAUUUAUGAUGCUGUCUUGGUGAACCCGGCAUUCUUUUGGUGAACAAUACAACUUGGUUGAAAUGAAGCUUCUAGCUCAGCAAAGGGAUCUUCAGGUGCCAAUUAUAUUGUUAUCACGUUAUCACCCCUCCCAGAACUCCGAAGCAAACAAUACAUUUCUUAUCUUAAUAGCAGUGUCUACUGUCGCAUGAACUCUCUGUUUAGUGGUUUGAUUGAGGAGAAAAAGAGCUGAGCUUGAUUGGAGAAUUCAUAAGCUGCACUGAGUAAACCUAUGACUGCUAUAAGUACAAUUGUCAAUUUGUCAUUUGGAUGUCAACUAGAGGUUCGGGUUCCUGCUUCACUGGAUCACGUAGCAACUCUGCAAUCUCUUUUGUUUUUUUUCCCCUUUAUAGUAUUUCAUGAUUAUUGUCAUUUUGGAGCAUGUAUCAUGGGAGUGAACAUUUCAUUUUUCUGAGACUUAUAGAGGCUGCAAAGUGCGAUAUGCAGCAACAUCCUGACUACAGCAAUUAUAGACUCCUCAAGGGGCAAACAGACUUUCCCUACGUCAAGGCUAACAAGUUGUCUUUCCCCACUAAUCUUCAUAGUUCAAGGAUGGGUGGUGGUGGUAGUAGUAGCGUAGAGUAUUAAUGAGAAAUAAAAAUCAUAGAUAUUCUUUUCUUUCCCUACUUUUAUUAUUUAAAAAUCAAAGUAAUUAAGUUUAAGUUUUGUUUUGUUUUGUCUUUUUGUUUUUUUUACACCAUUCCUGUCAUUGCUGCUAGUUCACUUUUUUUUAGUGGUUCUCAGGCAAAGAUUCCAGAAAUUGAUAGGUGUUCGGAUGUUAAUGCCAUAUUGCACACUAGGAAGGGUACUGAUGAGGUUCAUUUUUGGUGUGAAUUUGCGUAAUUUUCAGUAUGCUUGGUAGUUUAUCAGACUGCUAAAAUUCAAUGCUUCAUGUACUGUUGAUGCAUAUAAUUUGGUAAUGUUUGCAGUGAUUGUUUUGUGGUUGAUAUAUUCUAAAACAUGGCUGCUUCAUCAGCUUUCUUUUAAGUACUCCCUCUAGUCCUAUUUAUAGGACAGAGAGAGAAAAAUUUUUUUGUCUUUAAGUCACGUCAUUAAAUUUUUAUUAGAAAUUUUCUCUUUCACCCUCCAUUGAAUGUUGGAGAGAAAAAAUAUGUUAUUGAAGGUGUAUAUUUAAUAGGGACAAAGUUAAGAAUUUAUUAAAUUUUAAGACAGAGUUAAUGAGUUUUAAGGUUUUUCUUAGUAUUGGUAAAAUAUGUUGGAAGUGACUUAUAAAUAAGACUAGAAUAGUACAAUAUUAAUGGAAAAUGGAACAUGGUAAUUGAUAAGGUUCAUUUCAAUCUGAGUUUUUAAGCUGUUGUGUCAAAGCCCAUGUAUAGUUUUUGUUUUAAUCUCCAAUAGAAUUAUUAGCAGUCAUGCCCUGAUGAUUUUCUGAUGGAGCCGUUUAUAUCAUCAAUAUCUUUGAAAAAUUUGCCUUGUAAGAAUGACAUAGGAGGUGCAGCCCCAGUGCCGAGUUGUGUACUUUUGUACUCCCAUAAACUUGAUGAAAGGAGUGGGCAAAUGUUCUAACAAACACAAUGGGUGCCGGGUGGACGGAUUUUGGAAAGAUAACUUGUUCAAUGGAGUAUUUAAAUGUUAAGGUGUAUUCACAUUUGGUUCCUCUUUAGGCGAUGAUGAUUUGUCUGCUGCGUAAUAUUUAGAGUAUAAUCCCAAUAUAAAGCUAUUUUUGUUUUUCCUAUUUAUAGCGACAACAUUGUUAUUAUUAUAAACAAUAUAACAUAUGUAAUAUUGGUACUAGCAUAGUAAACAGCCAACAUUGAUUCCAAAUUGCAACUCUUACAACUUUUGUUGUCACCAUUCUUUCUUGGAAUCUAAGAAGCAUGUAUAUUUGCUUCUUGCAGUUGUAUAUGGUUUUGGAUGAAAUCUUUCCAAAUUGUUUUUUUUUUUUUUGAAACUGUUCUACAACCCAAAAAAGUGUUCUUAUAAAAUAUGCUAAAAAACGCCCUUGGAAUAAAUAAAAACUCAACGGACUAUAAUAAUACACACAGGAAAGGCUCUGAACUCUUGAUGCUUCUUAAAUAAUAAUGAUGAUGAUGAUGAUCGCAUUCUAUAUAACAUUUGUAGUAUUUUAUUAAUACGUCCUGCGAAAUCUUUUCCCCAUCUUUUCCAAAAGUUACCACAUCACUGUAUGGGAACUUUUUCAGAAACAGUAUGCAAGUCAUAUCUGUGCAUCAUAAUUUUGUUCCCUCUACCCAUUUUUAUCCGGUCUUAAAAAAGCUUUAGGUAAACUAUUGCUAAUUAUUUGUCAUUUUUAAUAGUCAAAUACAUGUGCUACUGACUAGAUGGUUUACGCUUCAUGUUGUACUUAAACACUUAUUGCUGAUUUUGAAGCAUCAGAAGGCAUAUACCCGAGCUUGUGCAGAGGAGACUGAGUCGGUGUGUUUAUGACUUGUUGAAAAUGAUAUGUUGGAAAGUUCAUUAGAUAAGGUCCUCGAGCUUUAGUUUUAGAUGUUAUUACUAUCUUUUCCUUCUCAAUAUAUCACCCCAAGUCCAACAUCCCUACCACUUCAUUUCUAGUGGAGGUUACUUCUAUUUUACAGAAGAACCUGGAUAAUGCUAAAGCUUGUUUAGAAGUUAUUGUUGGUGACAUGCUGUUCUCAAUGGACCCGGUGACAGUAACUCAGGUCAGAUUGCCAAUUACCUGAGUGUUUGAGCCUAAAAUAUUUUGUCCGGAGAAGAAUCUCGAGAACACCAUCUCGUGGUCUUCUGGGCUUGAAAAGUGAAUAGGCCAAAUCCAUUUUUAUGCUAAAUUUCAACUUAAUGAUGAAGUAUAGGGUGGCAAAGGUCGAGUUCUCAACCACCUUGUCAUAGAGAUUGAAAUACCAUACCAAAGACCAUUGCACAUUCCAAAAGCAUGAAUGGUUACAAACUCAUAAUAUUUUAUUUAUAUAUGUGUAACGUAUGAUUCUCAUUUUAUUCAUUACGUCUUGAUGGUUUGGAAGCAAAAUAUUUUAUGAAAGUAAUUAUGUUUGAACUUGAUGUUGUAUUUUCAUUUUGAAAAUUGAGACGGAAAACUGUUAUAAAUGACGGGUGCAAAUAAUACCCAAUCCUUUUUUUUUUCUGUAUUCCUUUUCAUUUCCGUAUUUAGAAAGAAAACAUAUGAUUUACAGUCCUUAUGUUGGAUCUCUUACUUUCCCUUCUCCAUAUUUGUAUUGUACUCUUUUUUAAUGUAAAUUUUUAGUUACGUUUAUCAUGUAAACCUUACACAGGGUUCUUGAUGAUAACUAUUUGCAUUGCAAUUCUUGGUAUUUCAUGUAAAUUUGAUCAGGUUACAACUUGUCUCAUUAUUUGUGAUGUACAUCAACGAAGAAUUUGACAAGCUUCUACAGCUACAGUUACUGCUCGAGAAUCACAGAGAACGAAGUUAAUAAACACCUAUAUUCAAGUUGGCUCUUGAGAAUGCUAGUGGCAACCAUGUUUAAGCAAAUGCUGAUAUUCAGAGGGGACCCACAAAAGCUUCAGUUUGCGAAUGAAAUCUGUCGGCAACACUACGCAAGAUGAAGAUGACAAGCACUUCAAAAUCAUUUGUUCUCCAAUGAUGUCAUCUCAAUCUUAUCAAAAUGGUUUUAGAUGUAAAUGGUUUAUGAUAUAUAUAAUACUGUCAUUGUUCUUAGUCCGAAAUGAGAUGAUGCCUAGUCUAAUGCAUGAUCCAGUCAACCGGUCUACUCCUACAAUUUCUAGAAAGCAUCAUAAACAAUUGAAAAGUUGGCUAUUGAGAAUCUUAGUCUUUAAGGGAUUUGAUAUGUUUUAAUCUCACAAUUUCUUAAAAAAAAAAAUUCACAUGUAUUGGUGCAUAAAUAUAAAAAGCAUCAUAAAUAAUUUAAGGUUGUCAUGAAAACAAUCUUGGUACAUGAAUAUUUUUCAAGAGUUGAAACAAUCAAGUUCUUGUUUGAUACACGAAAACCAUUGGAUAUGACAAUAGAAAGAAAACGUAAGUCCACAUCAUUUUAAAAUAGUGUUGUUCUUAUAUUGGAUAUCUCAGAUGACUUGAUGCUUUCUGGAACCCUGUUAUGAUGGUCAAGGAAACGGUAUACCAAAUAGCCGUUAAUUUAUUUUGUUUGAAUGUGAUGGUCUAAGUAUUAGCAUAUUAAAUUCAAGUGUUUUGAUUGUUACUUGAUAUCCAAGACACAGAAGAUGAAGAUAUUGAUGUGAAAAGGGCUUCUUGUUGAGCUGUGUUUGUUUGAACAGGCAAGAGCAAAAGGUUAGGUGGAGUUACACUAAUGAGAUUGUAUUAAAACAGGGCAUGGAACUCUGCCACAUGGGGACCCAUAAACGACGGUGAGUGUCUGCAUCUCAAAUCUCUGAAAAGUCAAAAAAGCAAUCCAAGCUUUUCAGGAAAUGUCUGUGGCGAAUUUAUACGCAUUAUUGACAGUACAAAUAUUCCUUCAGGCCUUUGGAAAAUAUACCGUUCUUUGGCAAGCUAUAUGCUUCACCUUCAUCUCCUCAUCUUCUCCAUCACUAAGCUUAGGGUGAGCUUGUGGCAUCAACGUUGGUACUUCAAGGUGUUGAUGAAGUGAAGGUCUAGGCAACAAAGAUGUAAAAGAUGAAGGAGGUGAGGGAGAGGAGGGAAAUAAGGAUCCAACAAAUGGCAGCACUGGAGGCAAGAGGAAAUGGAGGGGACCAAGAAAAUGAGGUUGAGGAAGAAGAGGAGAAUUUAGAAGAGCUUGUGAACCUCCUUCUUCUAGAGUUCAAUGGCACACUUCUUCUCUUAAGUCAUUUUGAAGUCAAGCUAGAUUAUAGUGUUGAGGGCUUGUAAUGCCGUCUCCUUCUAAUAGUAGUGGUUGCCUUUGUAGUCCGCAAUGGAUGAAGGAAUGAAGAAUUUGCAAUUGCAAGCAAGCAGAAGAACGUUGGGAAUUUUCUAAUAUGAGGUUGUAAAUGAAUUAAACAAAAAUGGUAUAAUAGGAUAAGUAAAGGCAGUGAAUUAGAUUGGGUCUGCAUCCAUAAAAUUCAUAUAGGAUUCCAUGCCUU
Molecule: long non-coding RNA, 5213 nt
Organism: Prosopis cineraria
Lineage: Eukaryota; Viridiplantae; Streptophyta; Magnoliopsida; Fabales; Fabaceae
Exons: 6
Source: RefSeq, a predicted model, not a curated record